UACGGAAGGGGCAAGCGUUGUUCGGAAUCAUUGGGCGUAAAGGGCGCGUAGGUGGUUCUGUAUGUCUACUGUGAAAGCGUACAGCUCAACUGUAUUUUGUCGGUAGAAACUGCAGGACUUGAGGCUGGGAGGGGCUGGUGGAAUUCCCUGUGUAGCGGUGAAAUGCGUAGAGAUGGGGGAGAACACUCGUGGCGAAGGCGGCCAGCUAGACCAGUUCUGACACUGAGACGCGACAGCGUGGGGAGCAAACAGG
RNAcentral lists this ribosomal RNA (253 nucleotides) under uncultured bacterium. RNAcentral's name for it is "partial 16S ribosomal RNA". It matches the Rfam family "Bacterial small subunit ribosomal RNA", at positions 524 to 776 of the family's 1533-position model. The record is from RNAcentral.